Chelonia mydas (Green sea turtle) is the source of this 2770-nucleotide RNA transcript. RefSeq lists it as uncharacterized. The record is from RefSeq and is a predicted model, not a curated record. NCBI's taxonomy places the organism in Eukaryota, Metazoa, Chordata, Testudines, Cheloniidae. The transcript is spliced from 3 exons.
AUGCGGAGACCGGCGGCGGCGGCCCGGAGCGUCGGGCGCCGUUCCCCUCCUCACCCUGCCUGCGGCGGCGUACGACUCGCCGCCCGCCGGCCGAGCUCGAGGCGCCGACAGAGAUUCGCAGCUCGGCGCCAUCGCCCUCCGCCCGCCCGCAGCCCCGUACGGAGCGCUCGGCUCGCCGCUCUCCGUCUCCCCGGAACCCCUGAGUGCCGGGCCCGAAGUGGCCCGCGAGGCCGGUGCCCAGGUGCCUCCCCGACUCCGGCGACCCGAGCGGCGGCCGAACCACCUGAGAGUCGGGUUGCGGCUGCCUCCCCGGCCAUCUUGUGCGGUGUGUGUGAGAGAGAGUCUGUCUCUCCUGUCUUCUCUCAACUCCUUCCUCCCCUCCCCCUCACAACAUGGCCGCCCGAGUCAGUACUCACUGCGGCGGGGAAGGGGCUGGGCCUGCGCUUCUACCCCCUGCCUACCGCUCAUUCCCCCCCCUUCCUGCCUUCUGCGCGUGCGCCAACCACUGCUCUCCGCCGGCCCCGAUGCUCCCGCCCCUCCGGGCCCGGCGCGCGCCGCUACCAUUGGCUGCGCUCCUCCCUCCUUCCUCCUCCCAUCCUGGGCCCGCGCGCAACUCAGCCGCCGCUUGCUUAUUGGCCGCCGCUUCCCACUGGUCUUUCCACCCUGCCUGCCCCACCGCAAGCUCAACGGUCGCAGCACAGUGUGGUGAGCGCGAGCCGCGUCUGCCGCUCCCUAUUGGCUCCGCUCCUUCUCUCGCGCCUCCUCCCGUCACCCACGGCCUCGCGCGAGUCCUGUGCCCCUCUCCGAAGCCCUACCCAGGCUCUGCUUGGGGGAAGGGUGGGACGCAUGGGAGUAGUUGCGGUGCUGCUACAUCCUGGGAAAUUUCCCAAGAUCUGGGGAACUUUGGAGUAAAAUGUUUCAGCUUGGGAAAUUGGGAAUUUUCGUUCACAACCUAAACAAUGCUGGGAAAGGUUUCAGAGUAACAGCCGUGUUAGUCUGCAUUCGCAAAAAGAAAAGGAGGACUUGUGGCACCUUGAAAAUUUCACAAAAAGUAAAAGACUGUCCAAGUCUCAAAAAUCCUGGGAAGCCUUCUUAAAAAGUAGUAAGUAAAAUACUUGUGCUUCUUUUAAAUUUCCCUCAAAAUGUGUUCAAUUCGAUUGGUGAAUAUGUGUCACGUGAUUUUCAUAAGCGGGCUAUGCUGCUCUCCUAUUGGUGGUGCUUCAGUACUGUAUCAUGAGGGCACAAGUGAAGUGACAAGCCUGCACACAUGCACUCACAACAAACCAACCUCAGCAACAGCUGGCUGGCGGGUAAUGAGGGGAUGGUUAUCAAAUGUAUCUUCUAGUUGCACAGAGAAUGUGGAGCAGAGGGUUGGGCUGUUCCUAAAUUUGUAACAGCACCUUCCUGCAGGCAAAUAUUAAAUAUCUUCGCCUACUGUGUUAGAUAUCUCUUUCCAUUUUUUAUCUACGUAAAAAAUUAAUAAAGAGACCUGUAAGGCUGGUGAGAAGAUGAAGAGGACUGCAGGAGUAGACAAAGAUCCGUCCACGUCAAAAUGAAAACAACGGGGUAGCACCGCCGACAGAGUGUUGAAGACUCAGGGUGAACUUCCACCAAAAGAGAAGCCAUCUACUUUAAAAAAAGCCUUUCAAGACUCGUGGCUUCAAGAAGGUAAAUACAAAGACCACUGCAGAAAGUAGAAAACAAUCGAUUAUUAGCUUAUUGCAAAUGUUGUGAUGUAAAAAUCCAGGCAGGUACUAGUGAGAUAGAUAAGAACGCUAAUGGUAAAAAACAUAAAAGGUUGAGACAGUAUCUAAUAAGAAGAAAAUUGAUGAUAUGUUUAAUAAACAAGAUUGUGAAAUUAAAAAAGCACAAAAAUUUGAAAAGCAAGUUAAAAAUGCAGAGAUUAGAAUGGCCUGUUACUUUGCUGCACACAAUGUCAGUAUUCAAUCUGAAGAACGCUUGACUGAAGUAGUUAAAAAAUGUUUCCCUGAUUCCAAAAUUGCUGAGGCUGUAACAAUAAAGAAAGAUAAAUGUACUGCUAUAAUUAGCAACGUUUUGGCGCAAACUGAGACUGAGGAACUUGUAGAAAAAUUGAAAGUUAAUGAAUUUAGUGUAUUUGUGGAUGAAUCUCCUUCAGGGAAUAAAUAUGACAACCAUAACACUCAAUUCUAGUGUAGUUAUAAGGUCAGCUUUGAAAGCAAAGCAAGAGAAAUGUUCUAAUUUUGUAAUUACUAUUAAGCACUUGUAUUUACAUUGUAAAAAUAUGUACAGUAAAAAUGACAGUGAUAAAACUAGUAAAAAUAUUAAUGAUGGUAAUGAUGUUCCUAGUGACGACUCAAACUAUGAGUCAGCAAAUGGAUAAAACUCAGAGAUUAUAAUAAUAAGGAAAAUUAAAUAAAAGAGUGUUAUUUGUUCUUUCUGUUUGCUUUUUUAUAAUCAUAUGUUUACUUUCAAAGUAACUUUAAUGUACAGUACACUGCAGGGCACAUGCUGUACUUAUUAAUACUUUUGUUUUUAAAAUAGUGAAAUUUGUGUAAAAUACAUCAUUUUUUAUAAUUUCAGUCCUACUCCUCAUGUGUUAAAUAUUUUAUUUACUGUAUAAGUAACAUAAGUUUAAAAUUGAAAAACAUGUCUAUAUGUAUAAAAAUUAUAAUAAAUGUGAAAUAUCUCGAACGAAUAAGAAUAAGUUGGAUAUAAUAUAUAUUAUAUAGUUAUUUAAAACACACAUAUUACGUUCCUUUGAGAUUUUGAAAUAAAAAACUUUAUCUGG